UGAGUACGAGAUGCUACGGCAUCGAAGCAGUCUAUGUCAUACUUCCAAGAAAAGCUUGCACUGUCAGAAACAGAUAAUGCCUGUACCAUAACCGACACAGGUGGGUAGGUAGGGUAUACUAAGGGGCGCGAGAUAACUCUCUCUAAGGAACUCGGCGAAAUGACUCCGUAACUUCGGGAGAAGGAGUGCCUUAUUUUUAAGGUUGCAAUAACAAGAUCCAAGCAACUGUUUACCAAAAACACAGGUCUCCGCUAAGUCGUAAGACGAUGUAUGGGGGCUGACGCCUGCCCAGUGCCAGAAGGUUAAAGAAGUCGGUUAGCAUUCGCGAAGCUGGUAACUGAAGCCCUGGUGAACGGCGACCGUAACAAUAACGGUCCUAAGGUAGCGAAAUUCCUUGUCGGGUAAGUUCCGACCCGCACGAAAGGCGUAAUGAUUUGGAUACUGUCUCGGAGAGGGGCUCGGUGAAAUAGACUUGUCUGUGAAGAUGCGGACUACCUGCACCUGGACAGAAAGACCCUAUGAAGCUUUACUGUAACUUGAAAUUGAAAUUGGACUUUAUUUGCGCAGUAUAGGUGGGAGGCGUUGAAAAUAUUCUUGCGGGAAUAUUGGAGCCAUCAGUGAGAUACCACUCUUGUAAUGUUAGAUUUCUAACUUUAUAUCAUUAUCUGGUUAAAGAACAGUUUCAGGCGGGCAGUUUGACUGGGGCGGUCGCCUCCCAAAUGGUAACGGAGGCGCACAAAGGUUUCCUCUGAACGGGUAGAAAUCGUAUCUAGAGUGUAAAGGCAUAAGGAAGCUUGACUGUGAGACCUACAAGUCGAGCAGGGACGAAAGUCGGUCUUAGUGAUCUGACGGUGCUGAGUGGAAAGGCCGUCACUCAACGGAUAAAAGUUACUCUAGGAUAACAGGCUGAUCUCCCCCAAGAGUUCACAUCGACGGGGAGGUUUGGCACCUCGAUGUCGGCUCAUCGCAUCCUGGGGCGGUAGUACGUCCCAAGGGUUGGGCUGUUCGCCCAUGAAAGCGGUACGCGAGCUGGGUUCAGAACGUCGUGAGACAGUUCGGUCCAUAUCCGGUGUAGGCGUUAGAAUAUUGAGAGGAGCCUUCUUUAGUACGAGAGGACCGAGAAGGACAUACCUCUGGUGUACCAGUUAUCGUGCCAACGGUAAACGCUGGGUAGCUAUGUAUGGAGUGGAUAACCGCUGAAGGCAUCUAAGUGGGAAGCCCACCUCAAGAUAAGUAUUCUC
This 1241-nucleotide ribosomal RNA is filed under the name metagenome. RNAcentral's name for it is "bacterial LSU rRNA". It matches the Rfam family "Bacterial large subunit ribosomal RNA", at positions 1564 to 2815 of the family's 2925-position model. The record is from RNAcentral.